GUAGCUCAGUGGUAGAGUGCUUGCCUUGCAUGCAUGAGGCCUGGGUUCAAUUCCUCAGC
This 59-nucleotide transfer RNA is filed under the name Dipodomys ordii (Ord's kangaroo rat). It matches the Rfam family "tRNA", at positions 7 to 64 of the family's 71-position model. From Rfam's summary of the family: Transfer RNA (tRNA) molecules are approximately 80 nucleotides in length. Their secondary structure includes four short double-helical elements and three loops (D, anti-codon, and T loops). Lineage: Eukaryota; Metazoa; Chordata; Mammalia; Rodentia; Heteromyidae. The record is from Rfam by way of RNAcentral.